This 343-nucleotide unclassified non-coding RNA is filed under the name Hevea brasiliensis (rubber tree). Lineage: Eukaryota; Viridiplantae; Streptophyta; Magnoliopsida; Malpighiales; Euphorbiaceae. The record is from RNAcentral.
GAAGAAGAAGAAGAAGAAGCAGCAUGUUAUGUCUUUGCAAAAGUACAAAUCAUUUUGAUACGAAUCAGUGUUAUCUGCUUUACUGAGAAGGUGUUUAGUUUUUGCAGACUGUUGCCACAUUGAUAAAGAUAGCUUUACCAGAAUAUGAUAAAGAUGCAAUAUGGGAUCUAUUUUGGAAGUAUAUUUGUUGUUUAGAUUUAUUUUAAAAACACGGGAAAGUUAGCUUGGUUAUUCAGAUUUGCUUGAGGACUCUGUCACCUUAGUUUUUGGAGGUUGCUUCCAGGAUUGAUUUGGGAUAAUAUUGCAUUGUUGAACAUGAAAAAAUUACUAAGGGUUUUUUUGG